UUCCCAUCAGGAGCAGACUGGGACUGUUGGGAGAGGAGGUGGUUCCCAUCAGGAGCAGACUGGGACCGUUGGGGGAGGAGGUGGUUCCCAUCAGGAGCAGACUGGGACCGUUGGGGGAGGAGGUGGUUCCCGUCAGGAGCAGACUGGGACCAUUGGGGGAGGAGGUGGUUCCCAUCAGGAACAGACUGGGACCGUUGUGGGAGGAGGUGGUUCCCGUCAGGAGCAGACUGGGACCGUUGGGAGAGGAGGUGGUUCCCAUCAGGAGCAGACUGGGACCGUUGGGGGAGGAGGUGGUUCCCAUCAGGAACAGCCUUGGACCGUUGUGGGAGGAGGUGGUUCCCGUCAGGAGCAGACUGGGACCGUUGUGGGAGGAGGUGGUUCCCAUCAGGAGCAGACUGGGACCGUUGUGGGAGGAGGUGGUUCCCAUCAGGAGCAGACUGGGACCGUUGGGGAAGGAGGUGGUUCCCGUCAGGAGCAGACUGGGACCGUUGUGGGAGGAGGUGGUUCCCAUCAGGAGCAGACUGGGACCGUUGGGAGAGGAGGUGGUUCCCAUCAGGAGCAGACUGGGACUGUUGGGAGAGGAGGUGGUUCCCAUCAGGAACAGACUGGGACCGUUGGGAGAGGCGGUGGUUCCCAUCAGGAGCAGACUGGGACUGUUGGGAGAGGAGGUGGUUCCCAUCAGGAGCAGACUGGGACCGUUGGGGAAGGAG
RNAcentral lists this long non-coding RNA (710 nucleotides) under Salmo salar (Atlantic salmon). RNAcentral's name for it is "lncRNA (ENSSSAG00000087325.1, ENSSSAG00000094192.1)". Lineage: Eukaryota; Metazoa; Chordata; Actinopteri; Salmoniformes; Salmonidae. The record is from RNAcentral.